RNAcentral lists this ribosomal RNA (471 nucleotides) under uncultured bacterium. RNAcentral's name for it is "partial 16S ribosomal RNA". It matches the Rfam family "Bacterial small subunit ribosomal RNA", at positions 28 to 507 of the family's 1533-position model. The record is from RNAcentral.
GACGAACGCUGGCGGCGUGCUUAACACAUGCAAGUCGAACGAUGAAGCCUAGCUUGCUAGGUGGAUUAGUGGCGAACGGGUGAGUAAUACGUGAGUAACCUACCUUUAACUCUGGGAUAAGCCUGGGAAACUGGGUCUAAUACCGGAUACGACCAAUCUCCGCAUGGGGUGUUGGUGGAAAGCGUUAUGUAGUGGUUAUAGAUGGGCUCACGGCCUAUCAGCUUGUUGGUGAGGUAACGGCUCACCAAGGCGACGACGGGUAGCCGGCCUGAGAGGGUGACCGGCCACACUGGGACUGAGACACGGCCCAGACUCCUACGGGUGGCAGCAGUGGGGAAUAUUGCACAAUGGGCGCAAGCCUGAUGCAGCGACGCCGCGUGAGGGAUGACGGCCUUCGGGUUGUAAACCUCUGUUAGCAGGGAAGAAGAGAAAUUGACGGUACCUGCAGAGAAAGCGCCGGCUAACUACGUG